Molecule: RNA transcript, 6829 nt
Organism: Trifolium pratense (red clover)
Lineage: Eukaryota; Viridiplantae; Streptophyta; Magnoliopsida; Fabales; Fabaceae
Exons: 6
Source: RefSeq, a predicted model, not a curated record
AGAAAAAACUCGAUCUUUUCAUUUUCUGUGAAAGAGAUAGUUUCUUGAUUUGUUUUUUUUUUUUGAAUCAUCUUGAUUUGGUUUCUUUGUUAUCACUAUUGCUAUCAAUCUUUCUAACCCUAAAUUCAAUUUCAUUCUAAUCAGCAAACCAUUCAUAAUUACCCAAUUUGUUUUCUGUUUGCGACACUCUUUCGUUCUCCGUCAAUCUUGAUUACCCUCUCUCAUGCGCGCUCAAAAACCUCACAACACUUUCGUGUAACUCGCUCUGAUUCUGUAACUCGUUCUAUUUGUUUUCGAUUUUUUUAUCAUGCCGAUGGCUAAAGCUGAUUCCAAAGCCGCUGAUAACCGGGUGCAGGAACAGGAUGAAAAAAGACGAACAAAGACGCUAAGGACCCUAACAACCUGAAGAGGCUAAGUUGAAGCGUAAGAGAUUGUGUUCUAUUUCAGGUCUGAUGUAGGCAGAACCAGCGACUGCUUUGGGUCUGAUAAAGGCUGGUCCUUUGCCAAAUGCUACAACGGCUGAGCCUGGUUCGUCGCGUACAUAUUCAGAUACUGUUAAUUGGAAAAGCCCGACCCCAUGGUGAUUCAAAAUGUAAUAUUGAUGCAUCAUUUGCGUCACAUUUAAACGGAGUUGGGAUUGGAAUAUGCAUCCGCGACGAACUUGGUCAAUUUGUGUUUUCAAAGACAAAAUAGAUUGCCCUUCUUUGUGGAGUGGAUGUUGGUGGACCUCUUGGUUAGUAUAUGUCCCUAAAAUGAUGGUAAUACUACACUUUGGAAUAUUUCUUUUGUUGUGCAGGUAGUGCUACACUUUGGAAUAGACAGAGCUUUAGUUCUGAUGUACUUACAGCAGCUGCAUGCACUGCUGCCAAUGCAAAGGGAUUGCAUUCUGCUCAAGUUCUGAUGCGAGAAGAACCUACGACAGCUUUGGGUCUGAUACGGGCUGGUGCGUUGCAGAAUGCUAAAUUGGAUGUUGGUAGUAUGCCCUUGAUUUAGUCUUGUCUGAAGGACCUAUGAUUGAAGCCAGACCUUUGAUUGUGAUCUAGUUUUCAAAUAAGUAGCGUGUGUUGCAGAAUCUUCUUCUUGAUAUUUGGAGUAUAUGUGGACUUAGUUUUGAAAAAAAUUAAUGAAAUAUCCAUUGUACUACUUGUAUCAUGUGUCUGUACCAUAUUGAUGAUUUUUGCCAACUGGUAUAGCUAUUACUAGUAUACAUAGUUUUAGUUCUUGUAACUAUGUCACAGUUAUGAUUUGUCAGGACGAACUUGAUUGGAAUGAAACAUUGAUAAAGAGUUUCGUCGGAAGAGAGGUAGGUAACGUUGUAUGUUUAUUAUUAAUUAUAAUUAUUAAUCACUAAUUUAUCAUUUAUCACUAUCAUUAGCAGGCUGCAAAAAGUGAUACAUGGAUCGGCCGGAGAAAUUAUAAAUAAUAUGUUCAUUAUGUAUGGCCUUUUGAAUUCAUAAAAUUCAUUAUCUAUGAGACUGUUCAUGAAAUUGUUGUCUGUGACCUAUGUGUCAAUAAAAUAUUUGAAAUUCGAAUACUAGUGGUAUAAAUACAAAAAACUUCUCAUUUUAUGGACAUGCUUACUGAUGAAAGUUCAAACGUGGGGAUUUUUUACCUUUUCAUUUUAUGGUUAUGAAAAUAGAGGGACCAAAAACUUAGAUUAAAGUUUCAAGAGGUGAUAACUUAUUGAACUGUUUUUAACUUUUAUCAGAGAUUGCUUUGUACUGCUGUUUGGAGUUGGGACUCUUUGGUAUUUUGUACUAUUAUCAUGAUUAUAAAUUUACCCUAUUUCCCAGAAAAUCGUUCAACUCAUACAACUAUACAAGAGCAAGUGCUUCAUCUUCAUUUUAGCUAUAACUGUCUCACCCCAAGUCUAUAUGCAAGCCACAAUGGCAUUUAUGGUUACCCGAAUACAAUAUGUUUUUCUACUAUAGUAAAUUGUUUUAGAUGGUUAAGGUUUGUCGUUUUACAUAGGCUCUAUGGCUUCAUCGUCGCUUUCUUUCUAUGUGCUGGAUAAAUAGUUUUCCAACUGUUUCUGGUGACGAAUCCUACCAUUCCAAGGAGGCAACUAGCAUGCAUCAUGACUUUGGCACCUUUCUGAAUAAUGAAUUAUGUCUCCAUCAAGCCUCAACUUUUGCCGAUGAGGAUUAUGGGGAUUUCCAAGCACAAGCCAUGUAUUCUGUGAGUUACAUACUGUGGUUGAAAGUGGUAAUGUGAUUUUAUUUUUUUGAUUUUAUUUUUGCCUUAGACUUUUCAUUUUAAGACUGCUUAUCUAUCUUAAUAGCUCAGGCUGUCUUAAAUAUGUUAUGUGCAUCAGCAAGUGCCGAAGCCUCUUGAAAAUGAUCUCCCUGAGAAGAUAAGAGAGGUAGAUUUGAAAACCUUAUUGGAUAAGUCAUGCCCAGAGAGAUCCUCUUUAUUCAGUUACUUUAUGAGCUAUAGAGCUAUGUGAGAGAGUUGUUCUAUCUCUUCCUAUUACACAAAAUUGAAAAAGCUUUGGGAAGAAUUAGAUAACUUUCGUCCUAUUUCAGAAUGUAAUUGUGAAUUAGUAGACAGAAACUAUUAGACGACUCUUUCACUUUAAUAGUUAUCGACUGUUUUCGGAAUGUGCAUAACAUCUUUCUAUUCAUAAUUGUUUGAUUAAGACAUGGCUUAAUGGCUUAACUAUACCAUAUUUAGACUGGUUUGCCUAGGGUAAAUUGACCUAAAGUGUGAAGCUAUAAAGGAGAAAAUGACUUGAGAAGAAUGGGAAGUUCUAGUGGGUAAUAUGAUAUCUGACUAAACAAGAUAAGACUCUUAUUAGCUUGAGGGUGAAGAAUCAACUAGUAUAGGAUGAGGAUGCUUUGGGAAACCAGGUGUGUAGGUAGGCAAGCUGUGUUACAAAUUGAGUGCUUGCAGAAGGAGAGCAAAUACAAAGAGCAAUACAAAAAGGUGCAUUCUUCUAAUAUGAAUUCUAGUUUGUUUUUGUUCUGUCCUAAAAAGGGCAACAAGCUAAACAAGAAACUCUUAAUGAAGAAUAAUUUGGUGUAUGAUUAAACAACAUAGUAAGCGGAACAAAAUUCUUAUUUAAUUGAGGUAAGUGCUUGUUUGGAAGACAUUGAGUCAAAAUUGACGUGGGAUAGAGGCUUGAGAUAGUAAAUAGAGGUUAAACAUCAACAAUAUGUAUAUUUUCAUGCUUAACACCAAGUAUUUUAAGAAAAUGCCUAAAUUCACCCCUAAUCUGUUUGAAUACUUUUGCUUUUGGUUUAAUUGCAGGUCAUCAAAUGACUACAAUAAUGUAAAAGGUUCAAUGGGAUGUAUAGGUUUGCUGCUGAUCCAAAUGCAAUGGUGGCAGAUUUGGGUGAAUGGAAGGAAGGCAAAUGGCUUUGGGUGUAGAAGUAGCCGCGGGAAUUAAUUCAGUGGGCAUAUGAUUUACUUAAUGAUGUGUUGCUGGAUAGUGUAGUUUUAGAGGUUGGGACCGGUGGAAAUGGUUAGGCAAUCCGAGAGGCACUUUCUUUAGUUUCACUGGUAGUUUCACUUUAAGGAUGAGUAUCGGGAUGCUUGGCGAUCUAAUAUGGUUUGUUGUUACCUUUACUAGUUCUGAUUAUUAUUUUUGAGGUAGUUAAAUUGAAAUGCUGGAGUUGGUUAAGUGCAAGGAAUGUCUGGUUCAGAUAUCAUGUUUCAGCAUGGUUUAUUAAACAGACAGGUUACUCAGGUAUUUACUAAGGCAUGUGUGAGAUGAAAUUAUUGUUUGAAAGCUCCUAUUAUGCAAAUUUUGUUUGGUUGCUGUUUGUGUUGUUGGAGACGGGUGCUGCUAGAGAUUGUUAUCAUGGCAUGUUGUUCAGUUCAGCUUAGAAUUGAAAAAUUGGUUACCUUUGAAAGGGAACAACACAAGUUAACAACCAUUGUGACUAUAGUUAACUUUAUUUGAUCACUUAAUCAAUUAAGGCUCAUAAUUGAUAAAUAGCUAAUAUAAUUAUAUAAAGAUAUUUGCCCACAUAAUAUUAUUGGAAUGUCAUAAAAUAUUCCAACACUCUUAUGUUAUUAUGCUCUGUUAAUACAACCUUGCUAACUAGAACCAGAAGUAAUAAAAAUCAUAGAGACAAACAAGGAAUAAGACUAAAAGAGAAUGGAAGAUAAUAAAGAGAGAAAGGGUUGUUGAACAUAGGUAGAUAAUUAUAGCCAUAAUAACUCAAUGGAAAGUCCCCAGGCUUUUGCUUUGUGCUGGGCUCAGGAAAGUCCCCGGGCUCAAUCUGCAGAAAUGCAGGCCUGGAAACGGGCUUAUCUUUGAGUUGGGAAUUGGCUGAGACACGUGUGUGGAGCCUUUAAAUUCCUGGCCAAUGAAACUUGGCCUAAUUUUUACAGUCAUUCACACGAUCUUUAUGAGACUAACAGAACAGGGCUUGUGCUUCAAGGUCCAUAUUUUUUAAAACAAAUUGAAAUUUUUUGUUAUUAUUCCAUUCCAUGCUUUGUAAACAAGUUACCAAUUUUUUCUUAUUAUUCCACUCCAUUCUAUACUUUCCGUUUGUUUUUUUUUACUCACUGGUUUGUUGACCGUUGGAGUAUUAAUUUCCUAAUUACUAUAAAUCCAACACAACUAUCUGGGAGGGAGAUAUUACUCCAAAAAUAUCAUUAUUCAAUCAUUUAUAUAACAAUAUAUACUUUGCUAGAAUGGAUACAAUAUAUACUUUGACCUAAAAGAAUUGUGGUAAAAACAAAGGAGAAUUGUGAUAAACUUUUUUUUGUUGCCAAAGAUAUUCUCGGAUCGAAAGUGAGAGAUGAAUCCUUUGAAAUAUGGUGAAUUGUGGUAUACUUUCACACGAUGAUGCUUCAUACUCAUGAAGGCUUUGAAGAAAGUGAUAGGAUUGAGAUCCAGGAUGGAGUUGAGCACUUGGUGGAAUUAAUGUCCAUGUCCAAUGAAUGAACAAAGGAAUGUAAAUUUGUUGCCUGUUCAACUUCUUUAUUUUUAGGACGACAUUGUGUUGCCUAAUGAAGAGAACAGUGAGAUUGUAUAUUCAAGAGGAAUUUGUUUCAAGUCAAUGAAGAUCGAUGUUAAUAAGGAGUUUCCUAAUAUGGUUUCAAUCAAGAAUACUAAUAUAUGAAUAUUAUGAUAAGGAGUUUCUUUUGACUUAAUGGUUCUGUGUAACUAUGUUUUGGAUGGUUGGACAGACUCACCGGCAUCAUGACAUUAUUGUUUCACAUUGAAGAGAGUAACCAAAUCAACUGUAUCACCAUAUGUUCUAAUUAGUAACUCAUCAUCACGCCAACUGUUCUGUCCAUCAUCAAACUUUGUCAUUCUUUUUUCAAUAAUAGGAAUUGCAGAUUGUUGGUCAGAUCUUACCAUCCCAGUAGAAGCAGUAACUGUCAACCUGUGUUUAUGGUCUAUGGUCAUGGAAACAGUGAUUUCAGGAACUCCUUUUGGUGCUUCAGGUAUUUCAGUUAUUUUGAAAUUUCCCAAAACAUUGUUUUCUUUGGCAUUAUGUCCCUCCUCAUCGCCUUCCUAGACAACAAUCGAUGCCGUAGUUUGAUUAUCAUUAAUAGUUGAGAAAACUAUAUCCCAUGUCAUUGGCACCGGUGUGUUCCUCGGAAUAACAGGUACGAAUUUUUGUCCAUCAGCACAAGUUCCGAUGGCAUGAAGUGUUACUUGAGAAGUAAACAAGUCCAUGUUACCAAUCAAAGGAUUCAUACCUUUAUAAAUUUCCUUUCCUUUGCACAUUCUAGUAACAAGAUUCUUCACCAUUGGUAUAUUACACAAUAUCCACCUACAAUUAUCACGUCACUUAUAUUCUCAACUUUUAUCUUUGCAUCUUCCAAGCAUUGGUUGAUUAGGAUUUCACACUUCUUAAACACCUCUUUGUUUAUGUCCUCAAACUCUUGCCGUGUCACAACCUUGCAUAUCUUCGAACCAUAUCCCAAAUCUAAAUCAACCUCGACACUUUGUCUUAGACGAAAGCUCAGUAAUCACAUCGUGGAUUCUACUUCGAAGAAAAGCCAUCAAUAAUAAUAUCUGAGUUCCAAUGAACAUGUCUCUUGAAUGUAUUUUCAGAAUCAGGUAAGAGAUGACACAUCAUAUUUACAAGCAAAUCUUCUCCACCAAUAGUACUUCCGGUCAAGGCUUUUAUUCGGAACUUUCCUUUUUCUGCUGCAAUAACAGAAACAUCACAAUAACCCACAUCCAUUUUGAAAAUGAGAGAAAUUUUCAUGCUCUUCAUUGUCCAUAUCCUCAUGAUGAGCCACAUACCACAAAACUGUAACGACCCAAAUUUAAUUAUUAAUAAUUAAUUGAUUAUUUGCAUUUAUUUUAUUUGUGGUUUUUAAUGUAAUUAAUUAAUUAUGUGUUAAUUGUUGGUUUACGUGUUUUUAAUAGAAAUAACUCGUUAAGAAUAGAAUGAGGGAAGUGAUGUGUUAGAAUAUGUUUUAGGCCCAUUUAGUAGCGGGGUAUUUUGGUAAAAGAAGAAGGUGGUAAACCUAACUAUAUAAGGACCAAGUUAGAGAGAGGUUGUCAUAAAUUAUGAUUUUGAUGGAGGUAGAGAGAGAAGCUCUCAAGAAAGAAAGAUAAAGAGAAAGUUAGAGAAAAGAAGAGAAAGAAUGAAGAGGAAAGCUAAGUAGAGGGGAAGAUUGAAGAAGAGCUAGGAGAUGAAGGACUAGAGAAUCCAACAUCAAUAAGGUUCUCAGGUCGUGUGUUCGAGUAUUGAUGAAGCUCCGCUCUGAUUAUGACACGGGAAAAUGGGGUUUUAUAUAUGUAGAGUCCUCUAAUCUUAAUUAUUUUGUAUAAUUAAUAAUACUUUAUUUAAUUCAAAGAUUUGUUUAAACUCGUAUUCUACCAAUUAAUGUUAUUAGUAAGGUUUUGAAGUAA